GUAAUGCAUUAGCAUCCGCAAUCGAACUUCGGAUUGACUUGGCGUAAUAGACUAUUCGCUGAGGAAUUCUAGUCUUCGGACUAGAGCCGGGUUGGGUUAAAGGAAGCUUCUAAUCAGAAUGUCUACAUUUUAAGAUUAGAUCUCAAAUCAGGUAGGACUACCCGCUGAACUUAAGCAUAUCAAUAAGCGGAGGAAAAGAAACUAACAAGGAUUCCCCUAGUAGCGGCGAGCGAAGCGGGAAGAGCUCAAAUUUAUAAUCUGGCACCUUCGGUGUCCGAGUUGUAAUCUCUAGAAAUGUUUUCCGCGUUGGACCGCACACAAGUCUGUUGGAAUACAGCGGCAUAGUGGUGAGACCCCCGUAUAUGGUGCGGACGCCCAGCGCUUUGUGAUACAUUUUCGAAGAGUCGAGUUGUUUGGGAAUGCAGCUCAAAUUGGGUGGUAAAUUCCAUCUAAAGCUAAAUAUUGGCGAGAGACCGAUAGCGAACAAGUACCGUGAGGGAAAGAUGAAAAGCACUUUGGAAAGAGAGUUAACAGUACGUGAAAUUGUUGGAAGGGAAACGCUUGAAGUCAGACUUGCUUGCCGAGCAAUCGGUUUGCAGGCCAGCAUCAGUUUUCCGGGAUGGAUAAUGGUAGAGAGAAGGUAGCAGUUUCGGCUGUGUUAUAGCUCUCUGCUGGAUACAUCUUGGGGGACUGAGGAACGCAGUGUGCCUUUGGCGGGGGUUUCG
Molecule: ribosomal RNA, 725 nt
Filed under: Rhodotorula mucilaginosa
Lineage: Eukaryota; Fungi; Basidiomycota; Microbotryomycetes; Sporidiobolales; Sporidiobolaceae
Description: eukaryotic LSU rRNA
Rfam family: Eukaryotic large subunit ribosomal RNA (bases 138-725)
Source: RNAcentral